GCUGCAUAUAAACAGCAUGUAACGAGAGAAUCUGAGUCGUCAGCUUACAUGUGCAGCCUGGGCAUGCAUUAAAUGUGUCUUGUGUCCAAGUUAUAGCCACAACUGAAAUACCUUUAGGGAGGCUGAAAAAUGUGGAUGAAGAGAGGGAAAGCCACAACAAGUGGUUCAGAAGAAGCCUGCUCAGGAAGAGACUGAAGAAACUGAAGAGACGUCCUCACAAGAAUCUGCAGAGGAAGACUAGGAGACCACACCAUUCGAUUUCUACCUCAUCAGCAGUUGGGUCUUUUGAAGGGAGAAGACGCUGCCUUGACCACUUAUUUUCUAUGCCAUGGUCUUUCCACUUAUGCCUGGGGGGGAGGGGAAAAUCACAUAACCUUAAAAAAGACUAUAUUAAUCACCUUCUUUGUAAUCCCUUCACAGUCCCAGGUUUAGUGAAAAACUGCUGUAACACAAAGGGGACACAGAUUACCGAUGCAACUUUUAAUUACUGUUUUCUUUUUUCUUAACCUACGAAUAGUUUGUUUGAGCUGCUAAGUAAGGGUGACUGGGUCAGGAAAGCUUUGAAUCAGAUUUAAGUCAUUCACUGCACUGCAUAUAAACAAGAAACUUGUAACAUAAUUAUAACGGGCAUUGAAAUAGGAAAGGCUUGGUGUGUAACACCUUUGGCCUUACAACACCUCCAAGAACCCACUCCCUAACUUAGUAAACUCCCUGUUUAGAACACCAAAGAUAAGGGAUAGAUACUACUCUUUUUUUUGUAACCUUCUUGUAGAUUUGUACUUGAUUAUUUUUAAACCUUACUCUUAUUUCAGGAAGAAUUGAGAGCUGAUUUUUCACUUAUUUCAGCCGAUAAUCAAAAGAAAGGAAAAAUAGGUACUUUCAUUUUGCAAAAGGGAAGAAAGACAAAGAUACGUUGUAUACUUACAGAUACAAACAUAUCAGCAGAAGUAGUAGUAAACAAAACUCACAGCACUCAUCUUCAGGAAACUAGAAAUUCAGGUAGACUCAGCUUUCCGCAGAGCCAGACACUUUUUGCAAAACUAGAGGUGACUAACACCAAAACACUCUCAAGCCAUAUAAAGACAUAGAUUUAUCAAUUACAGUGGUUUUGGAGGAAAAAAUCAUGAAAAGGUACCCAAGAACGAAUCAGGAACUUGCCUGAACGAAGAAAAAAUGUUUUGUGUGACCUCACCUAAUUUCACCCAUGUAUCAAUAUUUCAAAGGGAAUGAAUCUCUUCUCAGUACUCACCAGUUUUGAUGUAAGAAUCAACACCAUGUACCUCAAGUGAGCUUGUGUAUUACUUUAAGUAAUAUACUUUGACAUAGGAUGGUUCACUGGGCAGUUUUACUCCAGUGACAUUUCUCCAUCUUUUUCACUCAAAGCAGCACUUUUAGCAACAGAUGCAAUAUUACCCCACUAUUCAAUACUACCUCUGAUUUUUACAAUUAACUCAACAGCCUGAUAAAUACAUGCUGCUAUUCACAUACAAUGCAGGAAAUUAUUAUUGGGUAGAUAAUCAUGAAUAUCUGUAUUUUCUUCUUAUUUUUUCUUCAACACUUAAUGACGCAA
This is a long non-coding RNA of Chelydra serpentina (North American snapping turtle), 1570 nucleotides long. NCBI's taxonomy places the organism in Eukaryota, Metazoa, Chordata, Testudines, Chelydridae. The record is from Ensembl.